This 301-nucleotide ribosomal RNA is filed under the name Enterococcus casseliflavus. Its description in RNAcentral is "bacterial SSU rRNA". It matches the Rfam family "Bacterial small subunit ribosomal RNA", at positions 96 to 392 of the family's 1533-position model. Lineage: Bacteria; Bacillati; Bacillota; Bacilli; Lactobacillales; Enterococcaceae. The record is from RNAcentral.
UGGCGAACGGGUGAGUAACACGUGGGUAACCUGCCCAUCAGAAGGGGAUAACACUUGGAAACAGGUGCUAAUACCGUAUAACACUAUUUUCCGCAUGGAAGAAAGUUGAAAGGCGCUUUUGCGUCACUGAUGGAUGGACCCGCGGUGCAUUAGCUAGUUGGUGAGGUAACGGCUCACCAAGGCAACGAUGCAUAGCCGACCUGGGAGGGUGAUCGGCCACACUGGGACUGAGACACGGCCCAGACUCCUACGGGAGGCAGCAGUAGGGAAUCUUCGGCAAUGGACGAAAGUCUGACCGAGC